GAUGAACGCUGGCGGCGUGCUUAACACAUGCAAGUCGAACGAAGCAUUUAAGACAGAUUACUUCGGUUUGAAGUCUUUUAUGACUGAGUGGCGGACGGGUGAGUAACGCGUGGGUAACCUGCCUCAUACAGGGGGAUAGCAGCUGGAAACGGCUGGUAAUACCGCAUAAGCGCACAGUACCACAUGGUACAGUGUGAAAAACUCCGGUGGUAUGAGAUGGACCCGCGUCUGAUUAGCUUGUUGGCGGGGUAACGGCCCACCAAGGCGACGAUCAGUAGCCGACCUGAGAGGGUGACCGGCCACAUUGGGACUGAGACACGGCCCAGACUCCUACGGGAGGCAGCAGUGGGGAAUAUUGCACAAUGGAGGAAACUCUGAUGCAGCGACGCCGCGUGAGUGAAGAAGUAGUUCGCUAUGUAAAGCUCUAUCAGCAGGGAAGAUAGUGACGGUAGCUGACUAAGAAGCUCCGGCUAAAUACGUG
Molecule: ribosomal RNA, 481 nt
Filed under: uncultured bacterium
Lineage: Bacteria
Description: partial 16S ribosomal RNA
Rfam family: Bacterial small subunit ribosomal RNA
Source: RNAcentral